This is a long non-coding RNA of Mauremys mutica (yellowpond turtle), 1197 nucleotides long. RefSeq lists it as uncharacterized. The record is from RefSeq and is a predicted model, not a curated record. Lineage: Eukaryota; Metazoa; Chordata; Testudines; Geoemydidae. The transcript has 3 exons.
CUCACUGUGGCCUAAGCAUUGCCUGGGGACCCAUGGGCCCAAGUUUGAGGUCACAUGCCUAACUGCAAACAUCUUCUUAAGUUCAGUUGAAUUCAGUAGGACUUUAAACACAUCCCUGAACAGAGAUCCUUUCUUGGGUCAGGACCAUGCAGAAAAUUCUUCAGUCGGAAAAUCUUUGACCAGCUCGAGACAAAAAUCUUCAUAUCAAACACAAACGGAAAAAGGCACUUCUGGGCAUCACAGCUUCCUGGGAUUCCAGCAGUUGAAGAUCCUGAAGUACCUAAGGAUUGUGAUCCUUAUUGACGGAGAGGGUACAACUCUUUGGUGAUGGAGGCAGACCACAUGCCUGCCAUGCACUCUGUCUAAAUGUCAGAUCAGAUCCUAAUUACUCUCCAGGCUCGAACAAUGGUGCAGUUGAGAAGGGUAAAAAUGAGAAGCUUCAUCUCAGACCACCGAACAAAAGCCUUCAGUCAGGGUAUUUACAAUAAAUACAAGCACCAAGUGAGAGGACUUCCAGUUCCUGACAGGAUUACUCUCCAGAGAGUGUUUUCUGGGGAAAGAAUCUAUUACAUCACUGACCACUGGAAUUUGUGUUGAGAUGGGUUAAUCGAAGUUAAAAAUCUCACUAAAUCAAAGGGGGCUUCAGUUCUUCUGGCUGGACAGAAUGUACCCAGUUUGGGAGCUAUUGAGAAACUCUACUGACAAACAGAACUAAACGUCGGGGCAGUCUCAUGUAAUAAUUGCAGUGGUCACUACUCUCAAGAAAUUCAUCUUGGUCCACAAUUAAAGCAGUUGGCUGGAGCAUGAUGGCCCCAAUUCAGCAAAGUGCUUAAACCCAUGCUUAAAGUUAAGCACAUGCGUAAGUCCUAUGGAAGUGAUUAAAGGUAGGCAAGUGCUGUAAUGCCUACAGAAAACUCAGUGAUGGUUAGACAGCUAGUUAGUGGUGACCAACCUUUUUCAGUACUGACCAUGAUUGUUUCCUUGUGCUUCCCCUCUUCAUUUGUUGUAGCCACCUCUUGCCUAUGAGCUUACAUUGCAAGUUCUCUGGGACAGGGGCCAUCUCUGUUAUAUAUUUGUACAGUGCCUACCAGAAUGGAGCCCUAGCUUCUAGGAACUAUCAAAAUACAAAUUCAUAGCAGUAGUAAUGGAUUUAAGCAGGUGCUUAACUGUUUUGCUGAAUCGAGACCUCUAUUUUGA